CUCUAGAUGUUGCUGAACUGCAACUCCCAUGAUUCUCAGCCUAUAUUUCAUUCAUAGUAUCAUGGGAGUUGUAGUUCAGCAACAUCUGGAG
RNAcentral lists this microRNA precursor (91 nucleotides) under Pelobates cultripes (western spadefoot toad). Lineage: Eukaryota; Metazoa; Chordata; Amphibia; Anura; Pelobatidae. The record is from RNAcentral.